GUCCGUCUGGCCGAGUGGUCUAAGGCGCUGCGUUCAGGUCGCAGUCUACUUCGGUAGGCGCAGGUUCGAAUCCUGCGGCGGACA
This is a non-coding RNA of Anisakis simplex (herring worm), 84 nucleotides long. Lineage: Eukaryota; Metazoa; Nematoda; Chromadorea; Rhabditida; Anisakidae. The record is from Rfam.